RNAcentral lists this ribosomal RNA (439 nucleotides) under uncultured bacterium. RNAcentral describes it as "partial 16S ribosomal RNA". It matches the Rfam family "Bacterial small subunit ribosomal RNA", at positions 339 to 795 of the family's 1533-position model. The record is from RNAcentral.
CUACGGGUGGCAGCAGUGGGGAAUAUUGCGCAAUGGAGGAAACUCUGACGCAGCCAUGCCGCGUGAGUGACGAAGGCCUUAGGGUUGUAAAGCUCUUUCAGAUGUGAUGAUGAUGACAGUAGCAUCAAAAGAAGUUCCGGCUAACUUCGUGCCAGCAGCCGCGGUAAUACGAAGGGAACUAGCGUUGUUCGGAUUUACUGGGCGUAAAGAGCACGUAGGCGGAUUGGUCAGUUGGGGGUGAAAGCCCGGAGCUCAACUCCGGAACUGCCUUCAAUACUGCCAGUCUAGAGUCCGUAAGGGGGUGGUGGAAUUCCGAGUGUAGAGGUGAAAUUCGUAGAUAUUCGGAGGAACACCAGUGGCGAAGGCGACCACCUGGUACGGUACUGACGCUGAGGUGCGAAAGCGUGGGGAGCAAACAGGAUUAGAUACCCCGGUAGUC